This 587-nucleotide long non-coding RNA is filed under the name Echeneis naucrates (live sharksucker). RNAcentral's name for it is "lncRNA (ENSENLG00000001291.1)". Lineage: Eukaryota; Metazoa; Chordata; Actinopteri; Carangiformes; Echeneidae. The record is from RNAcentral.
AAGCAAACAACCUCCUUCUCCUCCUCUGACCCAAAAACGAAGGAAAGAAAUCAAGCAAAAAUUAGAAACUGAUGUACUCAUAAGAGCAGCAAAUGUGUGUGUGUGUAUAUAUAUAUAUAUAUAUCCUGAGUAUUAAUAUCUCUGAGUCUGUGUGAAAGUCAUGGUUCAUGGUAAGAAGUUGGCCAAGGAGACGCUGCUGCCGUCUGUGCUGGAAGAAGAUGAUGACGCAGAGAUCGAAAGUGGGAAGCUGCACCUGGGGGAGCUAAGAGCGAGCCGGACAGAGGUCGACGUGCGUGGGCCAAAGGACCAGCGCUUCGGCUCUGAUGGGAAUGUGCUAGACAGAGGUGAAAGAGAGAGAGAAAAGAAAGAGGAGGAGGAGGAGGAUGAACAGGAGGAGCUGGGAGGAAAAGAGCGUGUAAUCUCUGAUGAGGACUACGACACAGAUUUGGAGCUGGAAGGUACUGAGGAGGCGUAUGACCCGACAGGGAAGACCAGCUACAUGGAGGCGUGCAAAAUGUUUCAGGUGGUCCCUGCAUUCUCCUUCCUGCGGCAAAUGAAGGCUAGCGAGCUGUCCAUGAUGCAUUAUG